GUAGGGGGCAAGCGUUAUCCGGAUUUACUGGGUGUAAAGGGAGCGUAGACGGCUGUGCAAGUCUGAAGUGAAAGGCAUGGGCUCAACCUGUGGACUGCUUUGGAAACUGUGCAGCUAGAGUGUCGGAGAGGUAAGUGGAAUUCCUAGUGUAGCGGUGAAAUGCGUAGAUAUUAGGAGGAACACCAGUGGCGAAGGCGGCUUACUGGACGAUGACUGACGUUGAGGCUCGAAAGCGUGGGGAGCAAACAGGAUUAGAUACCCUGGUAGUCCACACGGUAAACGAUGAAUACUCGCUGUUUGCGAUAUACAGCAAGCGGCCAAGCGAAAACGUUAAGUAUUCCACCUGGGGAGU
RNAcentral lists this ribosomal RNA (352 nucleotides) under uncultured bacterium. Its description in RNAcentral is "bacterial SSU rRNA". It matches the Rfam family "Bacterial small subunit ribosomal RNA", at positions 527 to 881 of the family's 1533-position model. The record is from RNAcentral.